GGUUAAGUUACUAAGGGCACACGGUGGAUGCCUUGGCGCUAGGAGCCGAUGAAGGACGCAGCGAACUGCGAUAAGCCUCGGGGAGCGGUAAGCACGCGUUGAUCCGGGGAUCUCCGAAUGGGGGAACCCACCAUCCGUAAUGGGAUGGUAUCCGUCACUGAAUCCAUAGGUGGCGAGAAGGCACACCCGGUGAACUGAAACAUCUAAGUAGCCGGAGGAAGAGAAAACAACAGUGAUUCCGUCAGUAGUGGCGAGCGAACGCGGAAGAGCCUAAACCGCAGGGUUUACUCUGCGGGGUCGUGGGACGUCUCACGUGGAGUUACAAAAGACACCUGUAGGUGAACGGUCUGGGAAGGCCGACCAGAGAGCGUGACAGUCGCGUAACCCAAACAGGUGUCUCUCCGAGACGGAUCCCGAGUAGCACGGGACACGUGAAAUCCCGUGUGAAUCUGGCAGGACCAUCUGCUAAGGCUAAAUACUCCCUAGCGACCGAUAGCGAACCAGUACCGUGAGGGAAAGGUGAAAAGCACCCCGGGAGGGGAGUGAAAUAGUACCUGAAACCGUGUGCUUACAAAUAGUCGGAGCCCGUUACAUGGGUGACGGCGUGCCUUUUGUAGAAUGAACCGGCGAGUUACGGUAGCGUGCGAGGUUAAGUCGAAGAGACGGAGCCGCAGCGAAAGCGAGUCUGAACAGGGCGAGAGUACGUUGCCGUAGACCCGAAACCGUGUGAUCUAGCCAUGUCCAGGGUGAAGGUAGGGUAACACCUACUGGAGGCCCGAACCCACGCACGUUGAAAAGUGCGGGGAUGAGGUGUGGCUAGCGGUGAAAUUCCAAUCGAACUCGGAGAUAGCUGGUUCUCCCCGAAAUAGCUUUAGGGCUAGCCUCGGAAUGAGAGUCUUGGAGGUAGAGCACUGAUUGGGCUAGGGGCCCUCAUCGGGUUACCGAACUCAGUCAAACUCCGAAUGCCAAUGACUUAUGUCCGGGAGUCAGACGAUGAGUGCUAAGAUCCAUCGUCAAAAGGGAAACAGCCCAGACCAUCAGCUAAGGUCCCCAAGUGUACGUUAAGUGGGAAACGAUGUGGAGUUGCCCAGACAACCAGGAUGUUGGCUUAGAAGCAGCCACCAUUUAAAGAGUGCGUAAUAGCUCACUGGUCGAGUGACUCUGCGCGGAAAAUGUAACGGGGCUAAACGUACCACCGAAGCUAUGGCAGUCCUACGGACUGGGUAGGGGAGCGUUCCAAGCAGCGGCGAAGCCGUACCGGAAGGAGCGGUGGAGCGCUUGGAAGUGAGAAUGCCGGUGUAAGUAGCGAAAAGACAAGUGAGAAUCUUGUCCACCGAAAGCCUAAGGGUUCCUGGGGAAGGCUCGUCCUCCCAGGGUUAGUCGGGACCUAAGCUGAGGCCGAAAGGCGUAGGCGAUGGACAACAGGUUGAUAUUCCUGUACCACCUCCAUUCCGCUUGAGCAAUGGCGUGACGCAGGAGGAUAGGGCGAGCGGCCUGCUGGAUGGCCGUCCAAGCAGCAAGCCUGGUGUGUAGGCAAAUCCGCACACCGCCAAGGGCAAGCUGUGAUGGCGAGGGAAAUGCAAGUACCGAAGUCCCUGAUUUCACACUGCCAAGAAAAGCGUCUAGCGAGGAGUGAGGUGCCCGUACCGCAAACCGACACAGGUAGGCGAGGAGAGAAUCCUAAGGUGCGCGGGAGAACUCUUGCUAAGGAACUCGGCAAAAUGGCCCCGUAACUUCGGGAGAAGGGGCGCCCCGGUAGGGUUAACAGCCCGAGGGGGCCGCAGUGAAAAGGCCCAAGCGACUGUUUAGCAAAAACACAGGUCUCUGCGAAGCCGCAAGGCGAAGUAUAGGGGCUGACGCCUGCCCGGUGCUGGAAGGUUAAGGGGAUGAGUUAGCGCAAGCGAAGCUUUGAACCGAAGCCCCAGUAAACGGCGGCCGUAACUAUAACGGUCCUAAGGUAGCGAAAUUCCUUGUCGGGUAAGUUCCGACCCGCACGAAAGGCGUAACGACUUGGGCGCUGUCUCGGCAAGAGACCCGGUGAAAUCAUAAUACCUGUGAAGAUGCAGGUUACCCGCGACAAGACGGAAAGACCCCAUGGAGCUUUACUGUAGCCUGAUAUUGGACUUUGGUACGAUCUGUACAGAAUAGGUGGGAGCCUGGGAAGCCGGUGCGCCAGCAUCGGUGGAGGCGCCGUUGGGAUACCACCCUGAUCGUAUCGGAGUUCUAACCCGCGGCCCUGAUCGGGUCGGGGAACAGUGUCAGGUGGGCAGUUUGACUGGGGCGGUCGCCUCCUAAAAGGUAACGGAGGCGCCCAAAGGUUCCCUCAGAAUGGUCGGAAAUCAUUCGUAGAGUGUAAAGGCAGAAGGGAGCUUGACUGCGAGACCUACAAGUCGAGCAGGGACGAAAGUCGGGCUUAGUGAUCCGGUGGUUCCGCAUGGAAGGGCCAUCGCUCAACGGAUAAAAGCUACCCUGGGGAUAACAGGCUUAUCUCCCCCAAGAGUCCACAUCGACGGGGAGGUUUGGCACCUCGAUGUCGGCUCAUCGCAUCCUGGGGCUGAAGUAGGUCCCAAGGGUUGGGCUGUUCGCCCAUUAAAGCGGUACGCGAGCUGGGUUCAGAACGUCGUGAGACAGUUCGGUCCCUAUCUGUCGCGGGCGCAGGAAGUUUGAGGAGAGCUGUCCUUAGUACGAGAGGACCGGGAUGGACGCACCGCUGGUGCACCAGUUGUUCCGCCAGGAGCACAGCUGGGUAGCUAUGUGCGGACGGGAUAAGCGCUGAAAGCAUCUAAGCGUGAAGCCCCCUCCAAGAUGAGACUUCCCACAGCGUCAAGCUGGUAAGACCCCUCAAAGACGAUGAGGUUGAUAGGUUCGGUGUGGAAGCGCGGCAACGCGUGGAGCUGACGAAUACUAAUCGGUCGAGGACUUAUCCAC
This 2928-nucleotide ribosomal RNA is filed under the name Brevibacillus sp. WF146. Its description in RNAcentral is "Bacterial large subunit ribosomal RNA". It matches the Rfam family "Bacterial large subunit ribosomal RNA". The record is from Rfam by way of RNAcentral. Lineage: Bacteria; Bacillati; Bacillota; Bacilli; Caryophanales; Paenibacillaceae.